This 439-nucleotide ribosomal RNA is filed under the name uncultured fungus. RNAcentral describes it as "eukaryotic LSU rRNA". It matches the Rfam family "Eukaryotic large subunit ribosomal RNA", at positions 1 to 432 of the family's 3401-position model. The record is from RNAcentral. Lineage: Eukaryota; Fungi.
GACCUCAAAUCAGGUAGGACUACCCGCUGAACUUAAGCAUAUCAAUAAGCGGAGGAAAAGAAACUAACAAGGAUUCCCCUAGUAACUGCGAGUGAAGCGGGAAAAGCUCAAAUCUAAAAUCUGGCGGUCCCUGUGGCCGUCCGAGUUGUAAUUUAGAGAAGUGUUAUCCGCGCUGGACCGUGUACAAGUCUCCUGGAAUGGAGCGUCAUAGAGGGUGAGAAUCCCGUCUUUGACACGGACUGCCAGGGCAUUGCGAUACGCUCUCAAAGAGUCGAGUUGUUUGGGAAUGCAGCUCAAAAUGGGUGGUAAAUUCCAUCUAAAGCUAAAUAUUGGGGAGAGACCGAUAGCGAACAAGUACCGUGAGGGAAAGAUGAAAAGAACUUUGGAAAGAGAGUUAAACAGUACGUGAAAUUGCUGAAAGGGAAACGCUUGAAGUCAG